UGAGUAACACGUAUCCAACCUGCCGUCUACUCUUGGACAGCCUUCUGAAAGGAAGAUUAAUACAAGAUGGCAUCAUGAGUCCGCAUGUUCACAUGAUUAAAGGUAUUCCGGUAGACGAUGGGGAUGCGUUCCAUUAGAUAGUAGGCGGGGUAACGGCCCACCUAGUCUUCGAUGGAUAGGGGUUCUGAGAGUAAGGUCCCCCACAUUGGAACUGAGACACGGUCCAA
RNAcentral lists this ribosomal RNA (227 nucleotides) under uncultured bacterium. RNAcentral's name for it is "partial 16S ribosomal RNA". It matches the Rfam family "Bacterial small subunit ribosomal RNA", at positions 107 to 334 of the family's 1533-position model. The record is from RNAcentral.